UUUGGGUGAGCUUUGGAGUUCAAUUUUUAGGUAUUUGAUAUAUCACCUUUGAGUGCUUUUGACUAUAUUUCUGAGCAUGCAGGAGCUGGCAUUAUAAUCAAAUCUCUUGAAGAUCACAUCAUUGUUGCUGGUUGUAUAGUGAUCAAAGCUUCAUCCCCUAUCCAAUUUGAAUGUCUUGCACAGUGGGAAGGCUUAGACUCCGGGAGCUGGUAAAGGUUGAAGACUGACACUCUCAAUAGAUUAUUUCACACAUCAAAAAAACCUCUGGUUUCACCCUUUAGAUGAUAAGAAACUCUUUGCUAGAUCUGUAAAUGCAGUUUGUGGGUCCUUCAUCCCAAGAUCUGCUUUUCGUUCAUCCGAAGAUCUGCAAAUGAGGAUGCCCAAGAUCUGUUCAUCCUAAGAUCUGCAAGUGAGGAUGUCCAAGAUCCGCUUGUAAAUGGGGUCAAUCCUCCACUUCAUCCCGAGAUCUUCAAAUGAGGAUGCCCAAGAUCCGCUUGUAGAAGGGGUCAACCCAGUUCAUGCCAAGAUCUUCAAAUGAGGAUGCCCAAGAUCAGCAAAUGAAGACACACAAUAUCUGCUUGUAAAAGGGGUCAAUCCCGUUCUUGGGAAAAUGAUAUCCCAUUCUCUUUUACAGCAAAGCUGAUUUUUUAUCAUCCUAAAGGCCUCCUUCUUUUUGUAAAUAUUAUUAAUUUUUUAUACCUAAAGUAUUGAUGGGAUGAUAAUGGAUGUUUUAAUUAUACUUUGAUAUUAGUGAUCGUAGUAGCAAAACUAACAAGGACAAGUAUUAAACAC
Molecule: long non-coding RNA, 792 nt
Filed under: Musa acuminata (dwarf banana)
Lineage: Eukaryota; Viridiplantae; Streptophyta; Magnoliopsida; Zingiberales; Musaceae
Description: long non-coding RNA (MACU_LNC003607)
Source: RNAcentral